Molecule: ribosomal RNA, 216 nt
Filed under: Glomeromycotina sp.
Lineage: Eukaryota; Fungi; Glomeromycota
Description: partial small subunit ribosomal RNA
Rfam family: Eukaryotic small subunit ribosomal RNA (bases 40-216)
Source: RNAcentral
GGGUCAGUAGGUUGGUCGUGCCACCGGUACGUACUGGUCUCACUGAUUCCUCCUUCCUGAAGAACCGUAAUGCCAUUAAUUUGGUGUUGCGGGGAAACAGGACUGUUACUUUGAAAAAAUUAGAGUGUUUAAAGCAAGCUAACGCUUGAAUACAUUAGCAUGGAAUAGUGAAAUGGGACGAUCGAUCCUAUUUUGUUGGUUUCUAGGAUUGACGUA